RNAcentral lists this ribosomal RNA (522 nucleotides) under uncultured bacterium. RNAcentral describes it as "partial 16S ribosomal RNA". It matches the Rfam family "Bacterial small subunit ribosomal RNA", at positions 355 to 868 of the family's 1533-position model. The record is from RNAcentral.
UAGGGAAUCUUCCACAAUGGACGCAAGUCUGAUGGAGCAACGCCGCGUGAGUGAAGAAGGUUUUCGGACCGUAAAGCUCUGUUGUUGGUGAAGAAGGAUAGAGGUAGUAACUGGCCUUUAUUUGACGGUAAUCAACCAGAAAGUCACGGCUAACUACGUGCCAGCAGCCGCGGUAAUACGUAGGUGGCAAGCGUUGUCCGGAUUUAUUGGGCGUAAAGCGAGCGCAGGCGGAAGAAUAAGUCUGAUGUGAAAGCCCUCGGCUUAACCGAGGAAUUGCAUCGGAAACUGUUUUUCUUGAGUGCAGAAGAGGAGAGUAGAACUCCAUGUGUAGCGGUGGAAUGCGUAGAUAUAUGGAAGAAUACCAGUGGCGAAGGCGGCUCUCUGGUCUGCAACUGACGCUGAGGCUCGAAAGCAUGGGUAGCGAACAGGAUUAGAUACCCUGGUAGUCCAUGCCGUAAACGAUGAGUGCUAAGUGUUGGGAGGCUUCCGCCUCUCAGUGCUGCAGCUAACGCAUUAAGCACU